RNAcentral lists this ribosomal RNA (540 nucleotides) under uncultured Geobacteraceae bacterium. Its description in RNAcentral is "bacterial SSU rRNA". It matches the Rfam family "Bacterial small subunit ribosomal RNA", at positions 9 to 526 of the family's 1533-position model. The record is from RNAcentral. Lineage: Bacteria; Pseudomonadati; Thermodesulfobacteriota; Desulfuromonadia; Geobacterales; Geobacteraceae.
GAGUUUGAUCCUGGCUCAGAACGAACGCUGGCGGCGUGCCUAACACAUGCAAGUCGAACGUGAUCCAGAGCUUGCUCUGGUGAAAGUGGCGCACGGGUGAGUAACGCGUGGAUAACCUACCCUGGUAUCCGGGAUAACACUCCGAAAGGGGUGCUAAUACCGGAUAAGCCCACGGGCUCUUUGGAGCUUGCGGGAAAAGGUGGCCUCUAUUUAUAAGCUACUGUAUCAGGAUGGGUCCGCGUACCAUUAGCUAGUUGGCGGUGUAACGGACCACCAAGGCGACGAUGGUUAGCUGGUCUGAGAGGAUGAUCAGCCACACUGGAACUGAGACACGGUCCAGACUCCUACGGGAGGCAGCAGUGGGGAAUUUUGCGCAAUGGGGGAAACCCUGACGUAGCAACGCCGCGUGAGUGAUGAAGGCCUUUGGGUCGUAAAGCUCUGUCAGAGGGGAAGAAAUGAUAUAGUGCUAAUACCACUUUAUCUUGACGGUACCCUCAAAGGAAGCACCGGCUAACUCCGUGCCAGCAGCCGCGGUAAUAC